GGGGUCGGCACCCGUCACCAAAGGCGGCCGCGGCCGCAGUGGCGCCACACAGACCGGCUCCAGAGGCCGAGGGACGCCGUCGGCGUCGCGCGGCCGUGGACAAGGCUCGGCGGCGCGAGGCCGGGGGCGGGGUGCCGGCCGUGGCCGCCCCACCGCCCCCGUCAGCAAGGAGGCUCUCGACAAACAGCUGGAUGCUUACAUGUCCGGCACCAAAGGCCAGCUGGACGCCGAGCUGGAUGCUUACAUGAAGGAGGCAGACGUCUGAGCGGACGGGCCGGCGCAGUCGAACCGCUGCUAAGCCGCGAGCCGCCGACGUGACCCCGAUCCCGUCCCUGAUCCUGAUCCUGAUCGCGACCCCGUCCCCGUCCCCGGCCCCGGCACCGGCCUCGACCCUGACCCCGGGCCGGGCCAGGCCCCCUCAGGACGGCCGGAGUAGGCCGGCCACGCCCGAUGCACCCCCGCUCGUCCGUCCCCCUCUCUCAUACGCACCGCGCGCGGUGCUGUGGCGCGCCCGCCGCUGCUGUACAUACAUGGUUGCCACGGUGAAAUGUACUUCUUCGUUCGUACUGGGGUUUUGCGGCUGAGGAAAUGGAAGAUGGGAUAGACUGCGAGCGUUUGCCGGAAAGCAGAGGUGGCAAACAACAAUGUAGACGUGGUUGGGGGCAAGCAGCCGGUUUGCAUUGAUUGACGCGAUGCCAUAUGCUGUGCUCUCCCGCUCCGGACGCGACGCGAGGCCGCACGUGAGCGCCGGUCGGACCGACGAUGCCCCCACGGAGCCAGCCAAGUGCCGCUCCUACACAGCAUCAGAAUGUGAUCAGAGUGGGUCUGUCCAUCACACCCUGGCAUGGCCAAUUCUGAAGUUGAGGUGGUCGAUAGGAGAUAUGUUCGCAGAUCGCAGACCAUGGGCAGUUAAUCGGCUGUGGAAUUUCCGAGGCCCUGUAGCUGGAUCUGGCCGCGCGGUGCUGCCCUUCCUGCGUGGCGCCACGUGCUGAAAUAGAUGGCGGCACCAUGGGACUGGAGUAUGUGAACUGUCUGGCAAAAGAAAAUGUGUGACCCGGUCUUG
This is a long non-coding RNA of Pollicipes pollicipes, 1063 nucleotides long. RefSeq lists it as uncharacterized. Lineage: Eukaryota; Metazoa; Arthropoda; Thecostraca; Pollicipedomorpha; Pollicipedidae. The record is from RefSeq and is a predicted model, not a curated record. The transcript is spliced from 2 exons.